UGAAUAGAUGAGCUUUUAUAUAGAUGAACUAUUAUCUUAGGCACAGUCUGGGAAUAAAAGUUAUUUAUAUAAUGUGCCAGUGAAAUUAUGCCAUCCAUAGGAUGUGCUGCUCCUGCUUCUGUAUCUGCCAUAUUGAUUUUUAUCAUCAUAUAGCAGACUAUGUAAAGCCUAUUAUGAAUUCAACAAUAUUAUAUAUUAAGGUUCAUAUUUUUGAUUUUUUGAUACUUGAAAAAGAAUUUGGAAAAUCCAGGAACUUUUUAAAUCAAGAACUACAUAUAUAUGAAUAUUGCAGAUAUUGUUAUGCCUGUUGGGAACCAACCCCAAAUAGAAAAGGAAGAUAUUGAAGAAAUUAUCAAAUGCACCAGUUAUAGCACAGUAUUGUCCUGCAUUGAUCCUUUGUUAAAGUAUAUGAAUCAAUAGGAAUUUGACUACAAUGUAUAAUACUAUAUGGAAAUUCAUUCAAAAAUUGGACAAAAUCUUGAAAAUUUUCAAAAUAAAAAUCACAAAUUGUUAAAUUAAUUGUUAUCAUAU
Molecule: long non-coding RNA, 531 nt
Filed under: Androctonus crassicauda
Lineage: Eukaryota; Metazoa; Arthropoda; Arachnida; Scorpiones; Buthidae
Source: RNAcentral